UACGUAGGGUCCAAGCGUUAUCCGGAAUCACUGGGCGUAAAGCGUGCGUAGGUGGGUUGUUAAGUGCAAUGCGAAAUCCUGUGGCUCAACCAUAUGGACUGUAUUGCAUACUGGCAUCCUAGAGGACAUGAGAGGCAAGUGGAAUUACUGGUGUAGCAGUGAAAUGCGUAGAUAUCAGUAGGAACACCAAUGGCGAAGGCAGCUUGCUGGCAUGUAUCUGACGCUAAGGCACGAAAGCGUGGGGAGCGAACAGG
Molecule: ribosomal RNA, 254 nt
Filed under: uncultured bacterium
Lineage: Bacteria
Description: partial 16S ribosomal RNA
Rfam family: Bacterial small subunit ribosomal RNA
Source: RNAcentral